GGAAAGAGAAGGCGGUAAAGGAAAUAGUUGAAGAAAUAGACGAAGAAAAGAAGUUGAUUAAAAAAAAGAUAAUUGAAGGAGAUAUAUUGGAGGAUUACAAAUCAUUUUACAUCACUACUCAUGUUGAGACAAAAGGUGAAAACAAUUUAGUUACUUGGAUUAUUGAAUAUGAAAAGAAGAAUGCAAAUGUGCCAGAUCCAUACACAUAUAUGGGAUUUGCUCUCAACAUGACUAAAGAUAUUGAGACUCACCACAUCAAGUGACACAUAAAUAUAUGUACUUGGAAUAAUGUGUGGUGUUAUUAAUGAAUGUGCUUUGAAAUAUCUACUAUAUAUAUGUAACAAAAAUAAAUGGAGUGGAUAUGUAAUUUCUAUUUUGUAAAAUUCUGCUUAUAUAUAAUAUAAAUAAAAGCUACUAUUUGGAUUGCGUAAGAGUUUCCCUUUUCUUAUUCUUUUCUUUUUCUCUAUGCUGGAAAUUAGCCAAUGUAUGUGUUUUCCUUUCAACUGUACCAUUUUUUUUAUAAAGGGGAUUGAAGAAGAAAAAUAGUAUAAAAAUAAAAAAUAAAAAAUAUAUAUCCUAUCGUACUUUCUUCUAUAAAAAAGAAGGAAAAACUAACUAUAGCUAUAGAAAUUAAACAUCUAUCAUCUCUACUAAAUAUAAUUAUAUUUUAAAAUAAUUACAUAAUUAAAAUAUCUUUAAGAGAUAGAUUUAGGUAUCUUAGGGUUUAUAGUUCAAGGAGUGGGGACAUCGACGAUGCUAUCACACAUUGUAUUGGUGUGGUGUGGAUGAAGUGGAGACUUGCCUCUGAAGUCUUGUGUGAUAAGAAGGUACCGCUAAAACUCAAAGGUAAGUUCUAUAAAGUUUCUUUUUAAUCCGGUCAAAUAAGGAUUUUUUUUGGUGAUUCGAACGACAUUGUUUUAUGGGACUGAAUGUUGGCCACUCAAGAAUUCUCAUCUCCAUAAGAUGCAUAUUGCAGAGAUGAGGAUGUUGAGGUGGAUGUGUGGUCUUACUAGGAUCAAUCUGUGAUGGACAAGAUGAGGAAAGCGAGACUGAGAUGGUUUGGAGAUGUAAAUAUGAGAUGAUUAGAUGCAGUGGAGCUAGAAUUUCGCCUGGGGUGUCAAAAUAUAAAGAAAUAAAAUCGUAUAGAGGUCAAGGAGUGUCAAUAUAUAUAUAUAUAUAUAUAUAUAUACAUAAAAAAAAAUUCAUUCUAGCUACACAAUGUAAUUUUCCGACGAAGGGGUGUCGAACGACACCCCUUAACUACAUGUGGCUCCGCCACUGAUUAGACGCACCCGUGAGGAGGUGCGAGAGGUUGGUUAUUGAGGGUACAAGGAGAGGCAGAGGUUGACCGAAGUAGUACUGGGAAGAGGUGCUAGGACAAAGAAUUGACGCAACUUUAGGUUACCAAUGAUAUGACCCUAGACAAGAGGGUGCGGAGGACACACAUUAGUAUCAAACAUUAAUAGUUAUAGGGAACUACAAAAUUUUGUUAAAUAGGAUCAAUAAUAAAUUUUAUUAUUUAGCUGCAGAAAUUGUCCAUAGCCAAUUUUAGUUUUUUUUAGUAGUGAUAGGGAACUACAAAAUUAGCUAAUGUAAAAGCCACCUCAAAGAUUUGAAGUUUUCAAAUAACAUAAACGAUGUGUGUAUUGUACCACUAGAAACACAAGAAUAUUAUAUUAGUGAACUGAUGACAGAACAACUACAUAAUCAAUCACAUAAAUAGUCCUUCCAAAACACAAGAACAUUAUAUUAGGCAAACAUACAUGAUCACACUACAUAAUGAAAUGUUACAUUUUAACUAUGUUACUUCAAUAAGGGAAAGAUAAAUUUCAUAUGCCAGGCGCUCAAGGCUUUUUAGGCACUUGUGGGAUUUAUGGUUUUGGCAAAGUUGGCAAUUCAGGCUUAUAAUUAGGAAUGGAAGGAAUCUCGAGUUUUGGCAACGUUGGAAGUUCAGGCUUUGUGAUUUCUGGAAAUUUGGGCUUUGGCAGAUUUGGCAGCUCGGGUUUUUGAAUUUCAAGGAAUUCAGGCUUAGGCAAAGUUGGGAUUUCAGGAAGGCAUAAUACAUAAAUGUGCCCUUUAACUUGGCCUCAUUUCACAUUUAUGCCCUUCAACUUUGGGAAUACAUAAGUAGACACUUAAACUUGUAUAAACUUGAACAAGUAGACACAUGAGUCCUAUGUGGAACAAUACACGUAGGACAAAAAAUGACAUGUAGGAUGCCAUGUAGGAUAUGUGUGUCUAUUUGUUCAACUUUAUACAAGUUUAAGUGUCUACUUGUGCACAAUCAAAGUUGAAGGACAUAAAUGUGAUUUGAAGCCAAGUUAAAGGGCAUAUUUAUGUAAGUAUGUAGGGGUGUACAAAACCGAACCAAACCGCAAACCGAGUCAACCCGGAAAAAAAACCCGACUAGUGGUUUGGUAUUGGGAAAAAAAAUCCGACUAUAUUUGGAUUGGUUUGGUUUUAACUAAAAAAACAACCCGAGACCAAACCAACCCGACAUUAUAUAUGUAAUUUUAAAAUUUUAUUUUAUACAUAAAAAUAUUUACUUUGAUAUAAUUUUNNNNNNNNNNNNNNNNNNNNNNNNNNNNNNNNNNNNNNNNNNNNNNNNNNNNNNNNNNNNNNNNNNNNNNNNNNNNNNNNNNNNNNNNNNNNNNNNNNNNNNNNNNNNNNNNNNNNNNNNNNNNNNNNNNNNNNNNNNNNNNNNNNNNNNNNNNNNNNNNNNNNNNNNNNNNNNNNNNNNNNNNNNNNNNNNNNNNNNNNNNNNNNNNNNNNNNNNNNNNNUUUGUGUUAUUUUAAAAAAAAACACCUUAGAUAAUUGUAUUUUGGUUAGACUAAAGAAAUAUUUGGAGCACAAGUUAAUUAUAUGUUUUUAUGCAAAUUUUACCGAAAAAAUCCAAAAAUCUGAAAAAAUACGAGGUUUAUUAGUUUGGUUUGAUAUAUAAAUUUUAAAAUUCGACACAAUGAUUUGGUUUGGUUUGGUAUUUGAAAAACCCGAACCAACCCGAGGUUGAAAAAUCCGAAAAAAUCCGAAUUUUAUUAGUUUGGUUGGUUUAUAAAAUUUUAAAAAUUUUUUACAAAAUUGGUUUGAUUUGAUAUUUGAAAAACCCGAACCAACCCGAUCAUGUACACCCCUAGUAUUAUGCCUUUCAGGAAGAUGUGGCAAUUCAGGCUUAGGAAGCUCGGGCAGAAUUAUUUAAAGAAGAUGUCGUGCUUCUGCUUGAAUUACAUAGUUGCUUGCUAAUGACAAAGUGAUGAGUAAUAACAAGAAAAAAGAUGGAUUGUGGUGGUCAGUGCUGAAAAAGUAAAAAAUACUUUAAUUCAUAUGACUUAUACUUCAGUUUGAACACGCUAUUAUAUAGAUGUAAUUAGUUGUGCAAAAAUGAAAAGAGGAAUAAAACUAAUUUGGUUGGUGGUUGGUUAAGAAAAAUGUCAGUUAGUUCAUCUUCUCAACAAUAAUAGUCCUAAUUUAAUCUGCCAAUUUUUUGGCAUGCACAAGGUCCCCUCUCCAAUUCUAAAGCAACAUGUCUAUAAUUAAUCUCGACAUAAAAUUUGCAAAAGAGAUAUAGAGUUUGGUUGGGGUGGGGGUGGGGGUAGGCAUCAUUUCUUUUAUAAACAAGUGGUUAUGCGUAGGGUGCUAAAAUUGAUAAUAAACAAAUAAUGUGUUUGGUAAAAUAAUGUUGAUAAGCUUUUUUUUCUAAAAUAAUGACUGAAUUAAUGUCGUUAAAUUUAUUUUAAAAAAUAAUUUAAAAGUAUUUACACAUAAAAAGAACAAAUGAAGGAAAUAAAAUAAAGGGAUAAUUCAAAGUUAUAUUCUAGGAAGAACAUUUUAGGGAGUACAAAAAAAACAGAAAAGGUUAAAUUGUAAAGUGAUUGGUCAAAUUAAAAGUGAUUAUAAGCUGUAAAACCAUAAAUUUAAAAUGACCAACUUAUGGUUGAUUUCGGAUUUUAAGCACUUGAGAAUUAUAAGUGGUUGCCAACUAUAUGAUAAGCUUUAAAAAUAUGCUUAUGAACUAGUCUGAACCACUUAGAAAUUUAACUUAAUACCUUCUUAAUAUAAAAGUAGAUUAUUGGGUACUACCUAUAACCAAGAGUCUUUUUCUGUAAUAAUUGUGUGUAGUUAGUUACAUGCACACACCUAAUUAUGUAUAGGCAAAAAAAUAAAUACCAAAUUUACAGUCUAGAGUCUAACACAUAUUGACACUGUGUAACUAUAUAAAGGCAGAGCUACUCAUCAUGUAAUGAUGAACCACACAAUUGUUAUUAUAAACUUAAAGAAAAAUGAGUCUUGAAGGUAAAUUGGUUUCUGAGAUAAACAUCAAGUGUGAUGGAGAUGUGUUCCAUCAAAUAAUUAUGUACAAACCACACCAUAUGUGCAACAUAUGCCCUGAUAAGAUACAAAAAGUGGAUAUUCAUGAAGGUGAAUUGGGCACUAUUGACUCUGUUAGGUUAUGGAAAUUCACCCAUGGUAAAUCCGUAUUAUAUUUGGUUUCAAUAUUUAUUGUUGGCUCCACUUAUAUAGAUUUUCGUCGCAUUACAUAGCUCUUAAAAAAAAUUUAUAUCUAACUCAAACUCAUAAAUAACACAUUAUAUAGCUCAAACUAAUCAAUUCAUGAAUUGGAUCCAACACUUCUAUUGAUUCAGACCGUUUUUAAUUGGUCCAAAUUCAAUCCAACUCGCUCAAUCAUUUAUAAACGAAAUUAGUUGUAUGAAUUUUUUACUAUAUAUAUUUGUUUGCAGAUGGGAAAGAGAUGGUGGCAAAGGAAGUAAUUGAAGAAAUAGAUGAUGAAAAGAAGUUGGUUAAAAAAAAGAUGAUUGAAGGAGAUAUGUUAGAGUAUUACAAAUCAUUUUACCUCACUAUUCAUGUUGAGACAAAGGGUGAAAACAACUUAGUUACUUGGAUCUUGGAAUAUGAAAAGAAGAAUGCAAAUGUGCCAGAUCCACAUACUUUCAUGGAAUUGUGUAUCAAUAUCACUAAAGAUAUUGAGAGUUACCACAUCAAGUGACACAUAAAUAUAUGUACUUGAAAUAAUAUUAUGUGGUGUGGUUAAUGUGUGUGCUUUGAAAUGUCUACUAUAUAUAUGUAGGGAAAAUAAAAAGAGUGGAUGUGUAAUUUCUAAUUUGGUUCAGACCUGUUGUUUGGGUGAAAGCCUGAGUAGAUGGAUAUUGAUAAAUAAAAAUAAAAGCUCCUUCUAAUUUUGGAUCAGCGCGAGCCAAACAUGGUUGAUUUCGGAUUAUAAGCACUUUUAGUAUUUGUCAACUAUAUGAUAAGUUUAAAAAAAUAUGCUUAUGAACUAGUUUGAACCACUUAGAAACUUAACCUAAUACCUUCUUAAUAUAAAAGUAGCUUAUUGGGUACUAGAUAUAACCAAGAGUCUCUUUCUGUAAUAAUUGUGUGUAAUUACAUGCACACACCUAAUUAUGUAUAGGCAAAGAAAAUAUGAAAUUUAUAGUCUAGAGUCUAGACAUAUUGACAUUGCUUAACUAUAAGAGGGUAGAGAUACCCACUUAUAAUUAAUUAAUGAAUGAGUUUAUAUAGUCAAAGCAUUAGAUGAUAGCUCACACAAUAGGCAAUCCAUCUUCUAUGGCUAUUGCUUCAGCACAAAAAAUAGUAGUGAUAGGGAUAUAUAUUGUCACGACCUAGAUCGUCGUGAUUGACACCCACACUAACAUUUCGGUGGGAGAACCAUUACUACAACCCAACUAAGCAACUUAACGAAAACUAGAACAUUUAAUGAUACGAAAGCUGGUUUAAAUGACUACUAAAAUAUGGAGUUCCCAUAAACUCCGAAAGUUUAACAAAUCAACUAGCAUAGCUAUUGCGGAAAUUCAAUCCCUAGAACCUGAAAGUCAUUGUACCAAAACUCUAUAAACCAACAAAUCUAAGGAAAAGGGGUGCAACCCCUAAACUAACAUAAGCAAAGUCUAACUAAACAGUCUAUGUCCGAAAAGAGUGGACUAAACAAGGAAGGAUCCAUGACAGCCUGAAAGAACUGGCUCACCCUUGAAUCCGGUCUUCAAUCAAUGAUCCCCUAGCUGAGGUUUAUCAGUAGCCGCCUAAAGAUGCCCUGUACUCAACAAAGAACGAGCAAGUGCAGUAUCAGUACAAAACCACAGUGUACUGGUAGGAUCACGCAACCAUCCCAGUAAGCGAAACAAAGGCAAGCAAUUACAACACAGUAAACACAUAUACAGAAUACAUAGAUCCAUUAUCAUUUCAGGAGUAACAUAUAGUUCCCAAUAUCAACGACAAGUAGACAUGAAUGUAAUCAUCACAGUGGUCCUCUCAUGGAGCCCACACCCAAACUGUUAGUCUGUCGGAACGUGACACCCGAUCCAAUAUAUGUGUCGAAAUGUGAUACCCGAUCCAAUAUAUGUAUUAAAACGUUACACCCGAUCCAAUCUAUGUGUCGGAACUUGACACUCAAACCAGUCAGCACAACCACAAUCACAAUCACACCCAUAAUGAACAACGAUCAUAGUCAUACAAUCAAGUAUUGGUUUCAUUGGCAUGUAAUUGUUCAUAUAUACUCAUUUGCAUUAUAUAUGAUUCACAUUCCCUUAUUCACAAACACACAUGCAUACAAUGAAGCAAUUAACCGGCAUACAUCACACAAAUAGGAAAUCAAACCAUCACUUACCUCGAAACCAAGUUUGAAUCCUCCUAAGACAUUUGAGCCUUCCCUUUACGGAUUCUUUCAGCUUAUUCUUGGUCUAACAUCAGUUAAGUAAUGCAAGAAUCAAUAAACAAGAUGUAAUUUACCCGGAUAAUAAUCAAACUAUCAGUCCUAGGCCAAACCCAAGAUCCCAAUACUCAAUUAGGAAUUUUUCCACCAUCAACUUCAGGCCAAAACCCUCCCCCAAUGAUAAUUACUCAAGUUUCUAAGUUCUAAGAAUAGAAUUACGGAUUAGGGGAGUAAUUAUCUUACCUUUAGCGCUAGAAAUCAUGGAAAACUGUCAAGAACUGCUCUGGUUCGCCUCUUAGCUCUCAAGAAUGAAGUUUUACAGAAAAUAAUGAUUUUGGGGUUUUUCGACUUAAAUCGCGACUGUCCCACCACAGCGGGACCCAACCCGCCACAGUGUCCCUACCCUAGCGGAACUAACCCCUUUUUGGCGGCUUGCAUGGAGACAGAAGCUCGGAAUUUGAGUUCCAAGCUCCCAUUUCACAACACACCUUCAAACCUGGAUGUUUUAAAAAACCCUUCUAUGCCAAGAUCAGUUUUGAGAGUUCUACUCACCUGAAUUUGAUUCCGUAAAGCUGUACAGGCUCCUUAACUUCUUGGCUAUACACUCAUGUGAUCAAAUUCAUAAUCAAACCCCCCGUCUAUUACCAGAUUUCUCUAGACCUCACCUGACUCAAAUUUCAUCCAAGUCUUUCCUAGGAUAGAAAUUUCCAAGUUUCUACUUAAAAGUUUUAUAGCCCAAAUUAUUUCCUCAUUGGCUUUUCCAUAACGACGAGAACAUGUCGUUACAAUAGAUACCAAUUUACCCAUCACUCGUACCUGAGUGAUUAACUAGGAGAACUGACUAAGGCAAAAGUAGAGUAGUAUCUGAAUCGUCGAAUUGUUGGGGAUACUUGUCUCCAUGUCCUCCUUGGUUUCCUAGUAGCUUCCCCAACUGGACGAUACUCCCAUUGAACUUCCACGGACUUUAUCUCAUUGGUCCUCAUGAUACUUCUUCAACAUGUACACAUAGAACACUGGAUGGAUUCCUGAUACGCUACGCGGUAAAGCCAGCCUAUAAGUCACUGUCCCUACAUAGUCAAGAAUCUCAAAUGGCCCGAUGUAUUGAGGACUAAGCUUUCCCUUCUUACCGAAUCUCAUCACCCCAUUUAUGGGUGACACUUUCUAGAUGGACUUGCUCACCAUCAUGAGAUGUCAUGUCCCUUACCUUAUGGUUUGCAUACUUUUUCUAUCGACUCUGGACUGCUAGAAGCUUAGCUUGGAUACUUCUCACCUUAUCUUGAGUAUUUUUCACCAAAUCAACCCCUAAGGGUUUCACAUCUCCAUCCUCAAACCAACCAAUUGAAUACCUACACACCCUCUCAUACAAUGCCUCAAUGAAGUCAUCUCAAUACUCGAGUGAUAAAUAUGGUUGUAUGUAAGCUUAACUAACAACAAAAGCAUUUCCCAAUAACCACCAAAGUUGAUCGUACACACGUGUGCAACAUGUUAUCAAGGGCCUUGACACAAUCAUUGGGAUGAAUCAUUUCUCACAUAAGCAUGAUAAAAUUCCAAAUCAAUACUCACUACAAUUAGAAGUGAACCUGAACCAACCAACACACACUCAUAAUACCCAAACAAUCGUAGUUCUUAACCACAUCUCCAUCCCACAACAUAAAUUUCCAUGAGCUUAAGUUAUAAAAAUUUGAUCUUUAGACAUCUGAUACCAACUUUAGCCUUUGCAAUCAAAUAAAAAUAUUUUUGCCCUCGCCUCUCUCUAAAGGUUGUACUACAUCCCACAUUUUUAUGACUCUAGCUCUUUUAAAUUCUAUUUGAGUGGUGUCCCACCAUCUCUUAAAACUUUCCAUACAACCACGUUACUCACCAAAUAUUAGAAAACCAUAACCUUAUAUAUUCGCAAGUCGUAAUUACUAUACAAAAUUCACUUAACCAACAAUCUUAUUAUAUAGUUGCAUCCCAUCACAAUCCAUGAUGAACUCUUAUUACCAUUAUGCUCAGUUAGCCCUGACUAUUACUACGAAGUCAACCUUUUCAUCGACAUGACACCUCAAACUCAAGAAUACUCAUCAAAUUCAAAGGACUAACCCAAUUUUAUACGCACUUUCUUAGUAAAUCUUCAAUUUCCUUCACCCAAGUAUACUCAAUGGGACUUUCUUUAUCCAUAAGUUUGUCAUUCUGGUAUCAAUCCACUCUUUUAUGGCUUAAGAUAAAAUCACUAGUCCUCAUACUACCAUUCUUCUUCUUAACAAAUAAAAGAGGAGCACCCCAUAGGGAAGCACUAGAACAGAUGAAACCUUUAUCACGAAGCUCCUAGAUUUGAGCUUUAAGCUCUCUCAAUUCUACCGGAGCCAUGCGAUAAGGAGGAAUGGAGAUGGGGGUGAGUGUCAGGUUCCAAGUCAAUACAAAAAUCUAUAUCUCCAUCCGGAGGUAUACCAGAUAAAUCGGUAGGAAACACUUCCUUGAAUUCAGAUACUACAGGAAUAAACUCAAUAGAGGGAGGCUCAACAUCAAUCUCCCUAAUAUGAGCCAAAUAUGCCAAACACCCCUGCCUCACCAUUUUCCUAACCCACAUGAAAGAUAUGACCUUAGAUGGCUUAGGCGUGUACACACCUUCCUACUCCAACUUUUCCCUACCUAGGAUCUCUAGAGUUACAGACUUAGCAUUACAAUUAAGCACAAUAUAAUAGGGGGACAACCAAUUUAUGCCUAAGAUUAUAUCGAAGUCAGUCAUAUCCAAAAUAACCAAAUCAGCCCAAGUUUGAAAACCCAUAAACAGAACAAGACAAGCACAAUAUACCUGGGUGACUAUGACUGACUCUCCAACUGGGGUAGAAACUUGGAUGGGGGCACCAAGCACAUCAUAAACCGUAUCAAAUCCCAAGGGAAACUGAACUGACACAUAUGAAUAAGUAGAACCCGGAUCAAGCAAAAUAGUAUCCUUUCACUCACAGACAAGAAUAACACAUGUGAUCACUGCAGCAGACACAUCAGCUCCGAUCUUGCCCGAAAAGGCAUAAAAUUGAGCCAUGUCAUCUUGACGGGCAACCUCCUUGCCUGAAGACACUGAUCCCUUACCUGCAUUACCAUUUCUUUGGCCUUCACUACCUCGCUGAUUUCCUCCUCAUAUGCCCAGGUUCUCUACAAUUGUAACACACAUAAUAACUUAACCAAGUAAGCAACGCUGCUAUUGUAGUAGUUGUAUCAUAACCCUCUUUGAUAUACACUCAAUCUAGGAAAUCGUAGUAAAAAUUCAAACCUCAACUAUCGCAACAUAAUUUCAUCAUUUACUAAGCAACUCAUACAUGUUAUGCCAACAAUACUAAAUAUAUUUUUCAUAGUAGUGGUAUUCAUUAUCUAGCCUUCCCUUACAAAACUCCUUGAAUGUUGUCACCUUGGCAAAGUCUUCUGACUUCACCCCCUUUUACCUCCAUCACAAAAUCAACCACUUCCUGAAAAGAAUUUUCUAAAGCAGCCACCUAUAAUCUUGAAUCUGCAAAUCUGACCUUAAUACCUUCACAAAACGACCAAUUUGCUCAUCUAGACUGAAGCAAAAUGGAGUACCAUAUUUGGAUAAAACACAAUUUUUUGCCUUAUAAAGGCUGCAACAAAUAUAUUAUGUUGUUGUAUAUUCAGGAACUCAUCUCUCCUCAUAUCCCUCAAAGUUCAGGGUAUAUAAUUCUUCAUACAGAAAUCUAUACAAUGUUUCCCAAGUCAUGAGUAGUGCAUUUACUAGUCGGCACUCAACAUGAGACCACCACCACAUUUUGGUGUCUCCCUUUAACUGGUAUAUCAUAAACUCAAUGCCAAAUCGCUCUACCGUAUCCAUCUUAUGGAGCAAACCAUGACAAUCAACAAGAAAAUCAUAAGAAUGUUCAGAUUCAGUACCCUGAAGAAUGAAGGUUUCAACCUUAAGAACAUAAUAAAAACCUCAUGUUUGUUACUAGUCAUUACAUGCCCACAUUGAAUCGGGGAAACAUACUUAUUUGGAAGGACGCAUCCUCUCUUGCUAGUGUUGGUGUUACCACUUCUGUUGCUCUAGUUCUGACCAUAGAGUGAAGGAGGAAAGAUACUAAUUUGUAUCACCUAGAUACCAGUUGAAUUCAAGUAAUAGCACGAAGAAAGAAAGGAAUAAGUUUUCUUAAAGUCCUAUAGUCUUUCGAAGAAAAGUACAGACGUCUCCGUACCACUUUGCAAGACUCUACUAGACUCAUUUUGGUACAAUGAGAUCAACGAACCUAGGGCUCUGAUACCAACUAUGUCACGACCCGAACCGCCGUGAUUGGCACCCACACGAACCCUCCGGUGGGAGAACCAAUAUUGCAACCCAACUAAGCAACUUAACGAAAACUAGAACAUUAAAAGAUACAUAAGCAGGUUUUAAUGAUUACUGAAAUAUGGAGUUCCCAUAAACUCCGAACUAUUGCAAAAAUUCAACCCCUAGAACCUCAAAGUCAUUGUACCAAAACUCUGUAAACCAACAAAUCUAAGGAAAAUGGAUGCGACCCCUAAACUAACAUAAGAAAAGUCUAACUAAACAGUCUGAGUCCAAAAAGAGUGGACUAAACAAGGAAGAAUCUAUGGUAGCUUGGAAGAACUGGCUCACCCUAGAAUUCGGUCUUCGAUCAAUGAUCCCCUAGCUCAGUUCUAUCACUAACCUCCUGAAUAUGUCUUGUACUCAACAAAGAACGAGCAAGUGCGAUAUCAGUACACAACUACCGUGUAUUGGUAAGAUAACGCGGCCACCCCAUUAAGCGAAACAUAGGCAAACAAUUACAACACAGUAAACACACAUAUACAGAAUACAUAGAUCAAUUAUCAUUUCAAGAGUAACAUAAGGUUCCCAAUAUCAACGACAUAUCAACGACAAGUAGAAAUGAAUGUAAUAAUCAUAGUGGUCCUCUCAUGGAACCCACACCCAAACUGUUAGUGUGUUGGAAUGUGACACCUGAUACAAUAUAUGUGUCGGAACGUGACACCCAAUCCAAUGUAUGUAUCGGAACGUGACAUUCGAUUCAAGAUAAGUGUCAAAAUAUGACACCCGAUCCAGUCAACAAAAUCACACCCAUAAUAAACAACGCUCAUAGUCAUACAAUCAAGUAUUGGUUUCAUGGCAUGUAAUUGUUCAUAUAUACUUAUUUGCAUUAGAUUUGAUUCACGUUCCUUUAUUCGCAUACACGCAUGCAUACAAUGAAGCAAUUAACCGACAUAUAUCACACUUACAGAAAAUCAACCAAUCACCUACCUCGAAACUAAGCUUGAAUCCUCCUAAAACACUUAAGCCUUCCCUUUCUAGAUUAUUUCCGCUUGUUCUUGGUCUAAAAAUAGUUAAGUAAUGCAAGGAUCAAUAAACAAGGCCUAAUUUACCUAGAUAAUAAUCCAACUAUCAAUCUUAGGCCAAACCCAAGAUCUCAAUACUCAAUUAGGGACUUUUCCACCAUCAACUUCAGGCCAAAACUCUCCCCCAAUGAUAAUUACUCAAGAUUCUAAGUUCUAAGAAUCGAAAUUAUCUUACCUUUAGCGCUAGAAAUCAUGGAAAACUGUUAAGAACUACUCUGGUUCGCCUCCUAGCUCUCAAGAACGAAGUUUUGUAGAAAAUAACGAUUUUGGGAUUUUUCUCUGACUUAACUCGCGACUGUCCCGCCACAGCAGGACCCAACCCGCCAUAGCGGCCCCGCCCUGGCGGAACUAACCCCGAUCUGGCGGUUUGCACGGAGACAAAAACAUGGAAUUUGAGUUCUAAGAUCCCAUUUCACAACACACCUUCUAACCUGGACGUUCAAACACUACCAUUCCAUGCCAAGAUCAGUUUCGGGAGUUCUACUCGCCCGAAUUCGAUUUCGUAAAGUUGUACAGGCUCCUUAACGUCUUGGCUAUCCACUCAUGUGAUCAAAUUCAUAAUCAAACCCUCCCGUCUAUUAACAGAUUUCUCUAGACCUCACCUGACUCAGAUUUCGUCCAAGUCUGGCCUAGGUUACAAAUUUUCAAGUCACUACUCAAAGUUUUCUGGCCCAAAGUCUUUCCCCAUUGGGUUUUCCAUUACGACGGGAACAAGGCGUUACAUAUAUAGUAUUAGCACUGGCAUGGACAAGGUCCCCUCUCCAAUUCUAAUACAAAACAUGUCUAUAAUUAAUCUCAACAUAAAAUUUGUGAAAGAGAUAUAAUGUUUGGUUGGCCAUAUGAGAAAAAAUAAUUCAUGCAUUACUAAUAGAGGAGUUCCUGGUGUCAUAUUAAGUUAAAAUGUAGUGUAAAAUGUACUCGUAUAACAAUUUCAUUAUUAAACACCAGCAUAACAACUCUAAUAUUAGUAAUUCUGUAAUAUUUUUUAAUAUUAUUCACAACAUAUAUAAGCUAAUAUACUCACUGCAUAGUUAUUUUUAUGAGAUAAUCGGCCCCUAAUAAUAGAUCAGCAAGUUCUUAUAGAUCAAAAUAUGAACAUAAUUCUGAUGAUUUCUUGAUCUUUACUUAAGGAUCCAAUAGAAAAUAUGCAAACGGUUUUCUUCUCAGUUAAUUGCACAGAUUUAUCUUCAAAAGGAUUGUUCUUUAAUUUUUUUUCUUUUAUGAGUUGAGUAUUAAUUUUUACCCCUAUCUCUAAAGUGGCUUAUGCACUUCACUUGUUACCACAAAACGACGAAGCCAGGAGCGGAAGGAGGGACUUGAACCCUCAACCUCUUAAAAAAAGAACUUACGCCUAGCGUGACUUAAGUUCUUUAAAAACGCGAGACAUAAUUUAUGAGAUAUUAUAAUCCCACUAAAAAAUUAUUUGUUUGGAAAAAGAGCAAAUUACCCUUUUCUGUGAGGACCCAAUUCUCAUUUUCUAGGUAGUUACUUCAUACAAGUUGGAAACUUAAUUAGCCAACUUACGUAACACUUAAGCUUUAUUCGUUUGCACAAAAUGAAGGUUUGAUAUGGAAUAAUUUAGAUAUUAGAUUAUUAGUGCAUUUGUACUCAUUAAGAUUUAAGUACUUCCGAAUAGGUUUUAAUCAUAAAGAUCUAGAACAAAAUUUUAAUAUCAUUAAAAUAUAUUUUUAUAUGAAUAAUAUCCAUCAUCACUCUAUCCACAAUCACCGGUCACCACCACUAGGCACCUUUGCCGCCGCAACCACCACCAUCAUGACUUGAUUUCGACUUAUAAUGUCACGCCCCGAGCCUACACCCUGGGCGGGACCGGCACCCGAAGGCCAUUUCUGGCCCCAAGCGAACCAUUGGCCUGGCUUUCUUAACUCAGCGGAAACCUCAACAGAAUAACUCAAUGCAAUGCAAUAUUACAAAAUAACUUAACUUAUAAAAUAUGGCCAUAAAGGCAACUCGAAUCUCAAAAUAGAAUAUUUACAUAUAUAUAUAGAUGAGAGACUCAAAACUAACUGACUGACUGUCUGUCUAUGAAGCCUCUAAAAUACGGAGAUGGAUGUUGGGACAGACCCCGCAACAUCCUAAUAAAACAAAAACUAAGAACACAAAAUAAUUGAGUCCUCCGGAAUGCAAGGAGGCUCACCACUGACUCGGGAGUGCUCAACUGGAUCAACGAUGAGCAGGAUGCUGAUCCGGGGUACCUGUAUCUGCAUCGUCAAACGAUGCAGGCCAACUGGCAUCAGUACAUGGAAUGUACGAGUAUGCAAGAUGGAAAACUAAGCAACAAUAGGCUAGAAGGAAAUUUGGAAGAAACUGAAAAGUUUACCUUGCUCAACUCAACUCAACCUGACUGACUUCUUUCAAUAUAAGGCAAUUUAAAACAAGUGCGAUAUAAAGAAAGACUGUUUAAAACAUGCUAUAAACUCUAUGUGUAUANNNNNNNNNNNNNNNNNNNNNNNNNNNNNNNNNNNNNNNNNNNNNNNNNNNNNNNNNNNNNNNNNNNNNNNNNNNNNNNNNNNNNNNNNNNNNNNNNNNNNNNNNNNNNNNNNNNNNNNNNNNNNNNNNNNNNNNNNNNNNNNNNNNNNNNNNNNNNNNNNNNNNNNNNNNNNNNNNNNNNNNNNNNNNNNNNNNNNNNNNNNNNNNNNNNNNNNNNNNNNNNNNNNNNNNNNNNNNNNNNNNNNNNNNNNNNNNNNNNNNNNNNNNNNNNNNNNNNNNNNNNNNNNNNNNNNNNNNNNNNNNNNNNNNNNNNNNNNNNNNNNNNNNNNNNNNNNNNNNNNNNNNNNNNNNNNNNNNNNNNNNNNNNNNNNNNNNNNNNNNNNNNNNNNNNNNNNNNNNNNNNNNNNNNNNNNNNNNNNNNNNNNNNNNNNNNNNNNNNNNNNNNNNNNNNNNNNNNNUCUGCAUCGCCAUAAGAUGCAGGCCAACUGGCAUCAGUACAUGGAAUGUACGAGUAUGCGAGCUGGAACUAAGCAACAAGGCUAGCAAGAGAUCUGGAGAAACUGAAUAGCUUACCUGGCUCAACUCAACUCAACCUGACUGACUUCUUUCAAUAUAAGGCAAUUUAAAACAAAUGCGAUAUAAGGAAAACUGUUUAAAACUUGCUAUAAACUCUGUGUGUAUGCAAAGAUAUAAUAAGCCUGAGAUGUAUAUAGAAAUACAAAUGAACUGAUGUAUAUAAAAUACAAUACUUUCUGUGUAUGAAAAUACAAUAACUGCUGUGGGAGUUUCUCUAACCGACAACCAUCACAUAAGAGCUAUAGUGAUGAUACAGCGAUCAAUCUCACGCUGCCAGAGCAUCCUAUUCCCGGCCAAAGGUAUAGGACUUGAACUGCCUAAUGGAUCCACUAGUCUAAUCUGAAAAGGAUUCAUCUAAAAAGUAUGAUCCUUUUCUACCCAUGAUGGCUAACAUGGUUCUAUGGGGCUGUGGGUUCUUUGAACGCUCCCCCAAUUCGGUGCUCGAUACUACUCCCAAAAAUGUACUGGCUCUUAUGUUUUUAAAACAUAUUUCUUCCUGCUGAUAUGAGAUAAUUACUCAAAAAUUUGCCCGAAGGCUCUUAUGGAAAUCUCAGUUUCCAACCCUGUUUAAAUGUAAAAACAUUUCCUUAGAAACUUCUUUGGGAAUACAUAGUUCCCUAAUAACUUUGAGAAAUGAACUCAACUUAAACUCUUUACUUGACUUACAACUUGAGCCUUAGAAUGAAGUAAAAACGUUCAAUAAAGACUCUCGAACAACUUUGAAAACCUGCUUGGACUAACUUCUUAACCUUGCUUGACUUGACUCUAACUUCUCUUUAACUUGAUUCUAGCUCGCCUUGAAUUGAAUUAUGGAUUCAAGGGAUAUAAUCACCUGAUAUGAAUGAGUUCUAGGCAAUUAAAUGCAACUAGAAGUGUUGGAACCAAAUUGGGAACAUAGGUGCAAUAAGAAAUGCGGAAACUUGGCAUUGACGGAAGUGAUCUACGAACCGUAGGUCCAUUCACGGUCCGUAGGUGACGACCGUAGAUCAGCAGGCAAGGCAUUUGAGGACAAUUCAGGAAAAAUGGCCAAGUGUGGAACCACGGUGACCAUCGACGGUCCGUAGAUCGAUCUACGGACCGUACUGUUGAUCCGUAGAAUGCUACUGUGAGGGUUCUAGUACCUGAAUUUUUUGAGUAUUCUAAGUGUGGAACUACGGAGGGGAUCGACGGUCCGUAGAUCGAUCUACGGACCGUACCUCUAGUCCGUCAGCCGCUUCUGAGAAACUGACUAUUUUUGGGGUCCUUCUUUUCUCCAACAUCUAAACCUUCCCAAAACAAGGUUUCAACCCAUACACUUGGAAGCACAAAAAUUCCUCAACAACCCAUAGAUUACAACUAUCAACUUCAACAACUAACAACCUUGACAACAAUUCCAACAACUUCAACAACGAAAUUUAAUCCUUUCUCAAUAAAUAAAAGGGCUAGGUGUGUGGGGGAAAGGAUCACCCAACACUAAAAGCUCACAUACCUUGGUAGGGAUCACCCCCGACGAAAAUCCACGAUGAUCUUGUCGGAAACUUGUUGAUCUCCUCUCCUCUUCUUCUUUUCUUCUCUUCUCCUUCUCUUCUUCUUCUCAAGCCCUAGCCUUCACUCUCUUAGAAUGGAACAAAAUGAUCCAAAAAUCAGCCUAACACAACAAAACAUCCUCCAAAGACAUAGCUAGGGAAAAGACCAAAAUGCCCUUAAUGAUUUCCGGACGGAUUUCCUUGUCAACUGCCCAACUUUCAAAGGCCAUAACUCGCUCAUACGAACUCGGAAUUGAGCAAACGCAUCGGCGUUGGAAAGAUCAUUCCACAAGCUUCACAACCAUAACUGGAACUACUCCUAACUCAUCCUGAGAUAAAAGUUAUGACUGCUCAAAGUUGGCCAAAAAUCACUGAUUUCAUACUUAGCCAAAUUUUCCAGAUUUUCAAACCCUUUUCAAAAAUGAAAAAUUUUAAAUUCUAAACCUCUUCUUAGCUAUUUCAAAUUGCCGGAUAUUACACACUAAACCUUCGCAAGGCAAGACACAACUCUAUCCCUACUAGCUUUCUACCAUAAUACACGAUCUCCACUCUUUCCUAUUUAAAGUCAUGUCCUCGGUAAUAUGGAGCUCUGUCAUGUCCUAUCUAAUUACUUCUCCCCAAUACUUUUUUGGUCUACCCCUACCUCUCCAUGUCAUCCAACCUAUCGCACCUCCUCUCUAACGUGUCUCCUCAACACAUGCUUAAACCAUCUCAAUAUCGCUUCCCUCAUCUUGUUCGCCAUAGGGGUCACUCUCACCAUCUUCUGAAUGACCUCAUUCUUAAUCUUGUCACUCCUUGUAUGUCCACACAUUAUACCUCAACAUGCAUUUUCUGAACAUAUCAAUUCUUGAGUGGCCAACACUCCACCCCAUACAACAAGGAUAGUCUAACCACCACUCUGUAGAACUUACUUUUAAGUGUAGGUGGUACCUUCUUAUCACACAAGACUCUGAAGGCAAGCCUUCAUUUCAUCCUAGACAUGAUACCACUCGAACCAAAUAGAGAUAUUAGUACAAAAACUAAAUAAUUAUAAACUAAGAAUAUAACUAGCCAAAUACAAAUAUUAACUUGUAAUAUCUAUAUACUUUGGUUUAAGUAGAUUUUGAGUUAGAAUUCCUUUUGUAAUUUACUUAAUUCUAGUAUUCUACUUUAUUUUUGUUUUUAAUUAUUUUUUAUUUGGCCUACGAGCUGGUCCAGCCCACAUUGCUCAAGCCCCAUAUAAAGUUGGCAAUUCAGCCUUAGGAAUAACAAAAAUCUAGAGUUUUGGCAACGUUAAAAGUUCAGACUUUGGAAAUGGUGGAAACUCCGGCUUUGGGAAUUCUGGUAAUUUAGGCUUUGACAGAGUUGACAGCUUAGGUUUCGGAAUUUCAAGGAAUUCAAGCUUUGGUAAAUUUGGGAUUUCAGGUAAAUGCGACCUACCCAAUAUUUAAGUUAUUGGAACUGUUUUUGUAGAAUAAAUAUUUCUAGUGGCAACCAUUAUCGCCACAAUAAGAGUUUCUAGUGGCGUCCUUAAGAAGUCGUCAUAAAUAACAUUUAGUUUUGGAACUACUUGCCAGUUUCAAGAGCGCUCAGUUUGCUGCUAAAAUGAUUUUGUUUCGACUUUUUGGGCUUCAGUAGCGAUAAGUCGCCACUGAAAGCUCAAUUUCUAAUUGUUGCAUCAAUCAUGAAUGAGUUUCUAAAUUCUAUAGUCAAAGAAUUAGAUGAUAGCUCACACAAUAGGCAAUCCCUCUUCUAUUGCUCUUGAUAGAAAUUAGCAUUGGCAUGGACAGGGUCCCCUCUCUAAUUCUAAUACAAAACAUGUUUAUAAUUAAUCUCAACAUAAAAUUUGCAAAAGAGAUAUAGUGUUUGGUUGGGGGGGGAGGUGUAGGCAUCAUUUCCUUUAUAAAUAACUAGUCACGCGUAGGGUGCUAAAAUUUAUCAUUAAAUCUAUUUACAAUUUUUUUUAGUUUAAUUAAAAGUAUUUUCACAUAAAAAGGACAAAUGACGAAAAUAAAUAAAGGGAUAAUUCAAAGUUAUGUUCUAGGAAGGACAUUUUCCGGAGUGCAAAAGGAUAGAAAUUUACCUGUUAAGUCCUGGAAAUUUACCCAUGGUAAAUCCGUAUUAUAUUUGGUUUCAAUAUUUAUUUUUGUAGGUUCAUUUUUCUUGUUCAAAUUGUAAGUAAGCUAUAGGAGAUCAAUUCCUCGAAAAAAUUUUAGACAUCUAGCUCAAACUUAAUCCAUUCAUUAAUUUGAUCCAACAUUUUCAUUAACUCAAACCGUUUUUAACCCAUUCAGAUUCAAUUCAUUUCGCUCGAUCAUUUAAAAAGCAAAAUUAGUAGUAUGCAAUAUUUACUAUAUUUGUUUGCAGGUGGAAAAGAGAUUGUUGUAAAGGAAGUAAUUGAAGAAAUAGAUGAUGAAAAGAAGUUGAUUAAAAAAAAGGUAAUUGAAGGUGAUUUGUUGGAUUAUUAUAAAUCAUUUUACGUCACUAUUCAGAUUGAGAUAAAGGGUGAAAACAACUUAGUUACUUGGAUCAUGGAAUAUGAAAAGAAGAAUGCAAAUGUGCCUGAUCCACACACAUAUAUGGAAUUAUGCCUCAGUGUCACUAAAGAUAUUGGACUCACA
RNAcentral lists this long non-coding RNA (19146 nucleotides) under Solanum tuberosum (potato). Its description in RNAcentral is "long non-coding RNA (STUB_LNC004305)". Lineage: Eukaryota; Viridiplantae; Streptophyta; Magnoliopsida; Solanales; Solanaceae. The record is from RNAcentral.